Molecule: ribosomal RNA, 577 nt
Filed under: uncultured bacterium
Lineage: Bacteria
Description: bacterial SSU rRNA
Rfam family: Bacterial small subunit ribosomal RNA
Source: RNAcentral
UNUGGUCUGUCACUGACGCUGAGGCUCGAAAGCGUGGGUAGCGAACAGGAUUAGAUACCCUGGUAGUNCACGCCGUAAACGCUGAGUGCUAGGUGUUAGGUCCUUUCCGGGACUUAGUGCCGACGCUAACGCAUUAAGCACUCCGCCUGGGGAGUACGACCGCAAGGUUGAAACUCAAAGGAAUUGACGGGGGCCCGCACAAGCGGUGGAGCAUGUGGUUUAAUUCGAAGCAACGCGAAGAACCUUACCAGGUCUUGACAUCCCGAUGCCCGCUCUAGAGAUAGAGUUUUACUUUUUGUACAUCGGAGACAGGUGGUGCAUGGUUGUCGUCAGCUCGUGUCGUGAGAUGUUGGGUUAANNNNNNCAACGAGCGCAACCCUUAUUGUUAGUUGCCAUCAUUAAGUUGGGCACUCUAGCGAGACUGCCGGUAAUAAACCGGAGGAAGGUGGGGAUGAUGUCAAAUCAUCAUGCCCCUUAUGACCUGGGCUACACACGUGCUACAAUGGUUGGCACAACGAGUCGCAAGCCGGUGACGGCAAGCUAAUCUCUGAAAGCCAAUCUCAGUUCGGAUUGUAGG